This 125-nucleotide small RNA is filed under the name Escherichia coli. RNAcentral's name for it is "RtT sRNA". It matches the Rfam family "RtT RNA". From Rfam's summary of the family: This family represents a bacterial cis-regulatory element known as RtT RNA. Lineage: Bacteria; Pseudomonadati; Pseudomonadota; Gammaproteobacteria; Enterobacterales; Enterobacteriaceae. The record is from RNAcentral.
UGCAUUUGAAGCCCAUGAGGAUGAGAACCUCCGGGGGCGGGGAGGUUCGACUCGAGAGAACGUUGCGCCAGCAACGGCCCGCAGGGCGAGCCACGAAGUGGCGAGUAAUCCUCUAUCACCGACCA